GAUCUCACACAAUUCUGACGUUUUUUCCCGUUUCUCCAAACAUAAGAUUUAGAAGUUGCUCCAAACAUAAGAUUUAGAAGUUGCUCCAAACAUACAUUUCUAAGUAUUUUUGACACCCUGGGAUGACUCCUGCUCAACAUCGUUCUGUUUCUUCAAAUUUUACAUUUCGAAGUUGUCAAAAUUCAAAGUUAAGGGUUAAAGUGAACUUGGUAUUCGUCAUGUCCAACACCACCACGUUUCCAUGGUUCUGUAGUCAAAUAGAUAUAGAGGAAGAUAAGCAUUUCUAAUGACAUCAUCAGUUUGCAUCAUUUGAUUUUAACCAAUUAUGAGUAGGCAUUGCACAUACAGUAUGUUGAUGUUGGGGUGGUGCUGGAGAUAAUGAAUAUGACAUUUAAAAUUGUGGAAUAUCCCUUUAAGGUUAGGGUUAAAAUAUGAAGUUUAGACAUUCAUUCCGAAUGGUUAAGGUUUGGGUUAAGGUAAGGGUUAAGGUAAGGGUUAAGGUAAGGGUUAAGGUAAGGGUUAAGGUAAGGGUUAAGGUAAGGGUUAAGGUAAUGGUUAAGGUUUGGGUUAAGAUAAGGGUUAAGGUAAUGGUUAAGGUAAGGGUUAAGGUAAGGGUUAAGGUAAUGGUUAAGGUUUGGGUUAAGAUAAGGGUUAAGGUAAGGGUUAAGGUAAUGGUUAAGGUAAGGGUUAAGGUAAUGGUUAAGGUUUGGGUUAAGAUAAGGGUUAAGGUAAGGGUUAAGGUUUGGGUUAAGGUAAGGGUUAAGGUAAGGGUUAAGGUAAGGGUUAAGGUAAGGGUUAAGAUAAGGGUUAAGAUAAGGGUUAAGGUUUAAACAAUCAUCUUCCACAGGGAUUGAACAUGCGACCUUCAGAUCUGGAAUCAUGCCCAUCCACCACCCCAGUCGACAAUGCUUUAGCAAAACCCAAGCCUUCUGGAUGGUAAUAGUUAUCUCACUGUUGCCCCUGGUGGUUUUGAAGGCAUUUCCCGACAUCUAAUUUCAAAGUCAAUCCUGUUCUUUCUCCAUAUAUUGUCAGAUCUCAAUGGCCAGGGAUUACCGGUGACUCAUAUCGUUAGUAGUUUAAGUGUUGUGAGGUAAACAUACAGUAUACCGGAGAGUUCUGUGGUAAUAACGACCCUAGGGUACAAUACAUGUAUUUAUCUCUUAGUAGUUAAAU
This 1173-nucleotide long non-coding RNA is filed under the name Salmo salar (Atlantic salmon). Its description in RNAcentral is "lncRNA (ENSSSAG00000098870.1, ENSSSAG00000101696.1)". The record is from RNAcentral. Lineage: Eukaryota; Metazoa; Chordata; Actinopteri; Salmoniformes; Salmonidae.